GACGACACUGCGAGCAAGGCCCGCGCCGGGGGUCGCUGUCAGGCAGACCUCCGCUCCGGCGUGUGCCCUGGGGCACCUGCAGGCAAGAGUGCACACCCCGACUUGGCCGAGGGCUCACGGAGGAGAGGAGGGGGUCGGUGCGGUCCUAGGGAGAGUCCCGGGCCGCGAGGGAGGAGUUCGCGGUCUUGUCCCCCCACCUCUUUGGUUUAGGCCUUUUUAAGUGCGGCCUCAGGGUUUUGCUUUGAGCACCCCCUCGGCCCCCCCAAGUGGAUGCCCAUUUCACCUCCACCAUGUGAGCGCACUGGAGAUUCUGCCUUAAUGGAGGCGGAGUGUUCCCUGAAGACCUGAAUGCUCCCUGGAAAGCUGCUCCCACGUGUGGGCUUCCAAGGAUCGAGACUGUGCCUGGCCUGUCCGGGCAUGGCCCAGCUUAGGGUCUGUUCAGGUGGAACAGCUAAUUGCUCUCUCUUUGGACUUAGCUGUUCUGCCCCCGAGCGCACCCCAAGGCCCGGUGGCGUUGGUGAAACUAGCACUAAGGGAAGGCGUUGAUGGGAGGAGCCUGUCCUUUCUAAGGGUACACUUGGAACUGAAGUUGGGGAGACAGAAAAAUACGUGGGGGUAGUCGAGUGGUCCUCGGUAAGUGAGGGAAACAGGCAGUCAGGAAGUAGAUGGUCCGACCCUUCAACGUUAAGCUUUUAGGGCCACCCUGGCCACAAAUAUCUAGGGGUAGAAAAACACCAAAAUAGCCCACAAGAUUAGUUUUCUAUGUUCCGCUUCAUUUUCCCUUUGUUUUGCAGUUAAAGAAUAGGUGCUUAUGAUGUUGGGUUCUGUCAACAUCAGUUGGCUUUAAUUUUUAAAAAUGGCUGCCAUUUAUGAGUCAUGUGCUGUGGCUGGGACUGCUAAUCAUUUCCAGUGUUUCUCAUCACAGGGACCCAGUGAGGUGGAGACGGUCACAUUUUGUAGAUGAGUUGACUGAUACCCACAGAGGUUGAGAGGCUUGCCCAAGACACACUGAGCCAAGGGUUUGAACCCAAUCUGUCUGAGGAUUUAAUCCAGGAUCUCACUCUGCAUUUAGUUGUCAUGUCUCCUGAAGUCUCCUCCAAUCUGUGAUAUUUACAUAGUCCCAAAGUAUCUCUCCCAAGAUAUUUAUAAAGUACAAAGGGAAAAAAUGGUAACUUCACAGUGGAAAAACCUGACAGAUACCACCUUAACAUUACCAGUAAUAACACAUAUGAUAAUCACGUACCCCAGUGUGGUACACUGAGACAGAAAUGCAUACCCAUGGUCCAGUCAUGAGAAAACCCAAAUUGAGGGUCAUUCGCCAAAAUCUUAACUGGUGCUCCUCAAAAGUAUCCAGGUCUUGAAAGAGAAAGACUCAGAAUUUGCAUUUAAAAACAUUGCCAAGUUUGGUGUAUGCACUUUGACGCUGAAGAAAUACUUCCUGUGCUAGAUGGUCGCCAAGGAAAUACGAUAAAGAACCACAGUCUUGUUUUAUGGAUUGGCAAAUGGGUACUUCAGGCACAGGUUCUGGGUGAGCUUGUGGUAAUGGUGUAGCUUAAUAGCCAUCAUCUCUCCUUAAUGAUCUUCGUCCACCCUGUGUAAGUCCUGACAACUUUAGCUGUACAAGUAAAUACCUUACAUGACCCACAAGAUUAACUUGAAAAUGUGCAUGUAACUUUACCAGUUCAGCUAUUUAAAUCUGGGAAAAAGAAACGUUUUUCUCAUUUUGAAGAAGCUCUUGGAGGAAAAUACAUGUUAAGGUUUUCAAUGAGAAUGUCUCAGAUAAAAGCUUUCAAAAGUCCUCUGUAUAACAGGUAAAUAAAUAUCGUUCUUGUA
This is a non-coding RNA of Leptonychotes weddellii (Weddell seal), 1833 nucleotides long. Lineage: Eukaryota; Metazoa; Chordata; Mammalia; Carnivora; Phocidae. The record is from RefSeq and is a predicted model, not a curated record.